GGGCCUCUAGCUCAACUGGCAGAGCAGCGGACUUUUAAUCCGCGGGUUGUGGGUUCGAGUCCCACGGGGCCUACAA
RNAcentral lists this transfer RNA (76 nucleotides) under Friedmanniella luteola. Its description in RNAcentral is "tRNA_Lys_TTT". It matches the Rfam family "tRNA". Rfam says of the family: Transfer RNA (tRNA) molecules are approximately 80 nucleotides in length. Their secondary structure includes four short double-helical elements and three loops (D, anti-codon, and T loops). Further hydrogen bonds mediate the characteristic L-shaped molecular structure. tRNAs have two regions of fundamental functional importance: the anti-codon, which is responsible for specific mRNA codon recognition, and the 3' end, to which the tRNAs corresponding amino acid is attached (by aminoacyl-tRNA synthetases). tRNAs cope with the degeneracy of the genetic code in two manners: having more than one tRNA (with a specific anti-codon) for a particular amino acid; and 'wobble' base-pairing, i.e. permitting non-standard base-pairing at the 3rd anti-codon position. Lineage: Bacteria; Bacillati; Actinomycetota; Actinomycetes; Propionibacteriales; Nocardioidaceae. The record is from RNAcentral.